Molecule: non-coding RNA, 2380 nt
Organism: Phalacrocorax carbo (great cormorant)
Lineage: Eukaryota; Metazoa; Chordata; Aves; Suliformes; Phalacrocoracidae
Source: RefSeq, a predicted model, not a curated record
CCCCGCCCCGCUCCAAAAAGGGGCGGGCGGCUGGGUGCAGCCAUGGUAAAAAGAGGUGAAGUGACCAAAGGCAUCAUCCCGGGGGCGGCAGAAGACAGAGCAGCCUUCUCCGUAGUAGUGCUCGUCGCACACAAAGCGAUAGGAGUACUUGAGUUACCUGUAGUGAGGUCAUCAGGAGAGUCUGUAUGCAGCGCCUCAAUGAUGAGCGAGAAGGUGCCCUGGAGAAAGAAGAAGCAGAGACAACCCAUCGGGAGAGCGUGAGAGCAGCUUCAGCUCGAAGACCCCGGAGCAGCCGACCUGCGGGGCGGGGAUAGCGGCCGUCAGCCCGCCGAGCCGCCCGCUCCCCCGGCCCGACCCCAGCCCCCGGCGGGCACCGGCGGCACCGGCACCCCCCCCCCCCCUUCUCCCGGCUGCCACAGGCGGCACCGGCCCUCGGCACCCCCGCGGGACCCCCCGGUGCGGGGCCCACCGCAGGUAUUUCGGCCCCCCACCCCGCGGGCACUUACCUGGCAGCGGCUCAGCAGCACCGAGAGGAGGGCGAGCGCCAGCAGGAACCGACCUCCCAUUUUGGAGGGGCAGCUCUGGUGCCCUCGCUUUCCUCCCCCUUGCCUUCCCGUCAGAGGGGAAAGGGGAAAGUGUCUCUCGGGGAAAGGGAAAAAGACAGCGGCCAAAACCGCUCGCCCCAGCAGAGCUGGAAGAGUUAGUGUCACGGUCUCCUUCUUUCAGGAGUGUCCCUGACUUUUUUUUUUCCCCCCUCUGUCGGUACCUCUAGGUGUAGCCUGUCGGCGACUGACAGCUCUUUCGGAUGGCAAAAGAAAAAGAAAGGGAGGGAGGGGGGAAAAAUGGUUAAGAUUAAUCUGCUAAACUCUUUUUCUUUCCCAAUCCACGGUGCUCCUCCUUUUCUCCAGGAAGAAAAAAAUAAAAAUUAAAAAAAAAAAAAAUUUAAAAAGCAACUUAAUUCCCAACGGAGGCAGAGAAAAGGCUUCCCAAGGAAGAUUAAGAACCGGCGAUCUGGAAAUCCCUGCAGAGGCAGCGGCGGACGCGGCGAUAAUUCCCGGUGCGGUGAGAUGCGGGAGCGGCCCUGCGCGGCUCUGCGCGGCUCUGCGCGGCUGCGCUCGCCCUGCGCACGUCGGGGCGGGCGGGUGUCAAACGGCAGCGGCGGCGGGCAGGUCACGUCGGAGCCUUGAUCCCCUUUUUUUUUUUUCCUUUUCUUUUUUUUUUUUUUUUUUCAGAAGAAGCGAAGCUCUCUUUCCUUGUUGCGGGCUUACUUUUGUUUUCAGAGGAAUCCCAGCCAACAAAAAUAAGCUCGUGUCUCAAUAGCGGCGCACUGAGCGUGUCCGGGUGUGCUGCUACGGGGGCGGGGGGUGCCUGCUCUGCCCUGCCCUGCUCUGCCCUGCUCGGCCCUGCUCUGCCCUGCACCGCGGCUCGGCUGGGCUCGGCGGCUCUCUCCGAGGGUGAAGCGCUAAGGAUCUGCCUCUCCUUGGGCGCCUGCCUCCCUUAUAUCCCGCCGGCCGCCUGCAUGCCUAAUGAUAUGCAAAUGAGCAGCCCCCCAAUCUGGCUAGAGCUGUCACAAAGGAGCCACUUUUCCAAACCCUCCUCUCAAUGGAUCGCCAAAUGGUCAGUGAGCUGUAAAAUGUGCAACCCUCCUCCCCCUCCCCUCCGCGCUCACAAAACGUGCUCAUUUACAUUCCUGCAAAUUUGGUAACCGCAAGAAUCCCCCUUCUGCUCCGGGGAGACGGUAACACCCCCUCCGCACCGGAGAGAGGCAGAGCAACACGCUCCGGCGAGAAAACAACCCCGGGGACGGCGGGCUGUAAUUACCUCUGGCAACGUGCAAAGCGACCGCCGUGCCCCCAAAAAAAUGACUCGGUGCUCCCGACCGCUUCCAAGGGGCACCGUCGGCUUUAAAGGGACGAGGGAGGUGGGAGCCAGCGCGCCGCAACGAGGGGAAUCUGAUCCCUGGAAAUUCACACCGCGUUUCCCCUGGCACUAAGCGGGAUAAUUGGGGAGGGGUAGCGGGGGGCAAUGAAUUUGCGCGACCCGAGCCGGGGCUGGCUCUUCCCUUGGCUCGUCCCGUCGGCGGAGGGAGAGGGGGUCCCCGGGGGGUCCCGGCGGCGGCGGAGGGUGCGGGCGGGUGGUUCGCGGAGGGGACCCACGGAGGGCACCCGUGUGGGGGGACCCGUGAAGGGGACCCGCCUGCGGGGCUCCGCGGGUCCCGUCCGCGCCACCACCGCUGCCGGAGAGAGCCACCCGCUCCGCCCGGGUCCCGCACCCCUCUAUGAUUAUUAUCAUCAUCACCGGCAACCUCUCCCUCUCUCUCUCUCUCUCUCUCUCUUUUUUUUUUUCCUCCUUCAGCUUAGUAAAAAGUGAGUUUGGUGUG